This is a non-coding RNA of Brachypodium distachyon (stiff brome), 93 nucleotides long. NCBI's taxonomy places the organism in Eukaryota, Viridiplantae, Streptophyta, Magnoliopsida, Poales, Poaceae. The record is from RefSeq and is marked provisional.
CCGAGCUCCCUCAAUCUCUUUUCCGCUUUCUGCUUGGCUGGAAAGGAGUUGGGGUGGAUAGCAGAGAGGGGAAAAGAGAUUGAGGGAGCUCGG